RNAcentral lists this ribosomal RNA (1436 nucleotides) under uncultured bacterium. RNAcentral's name for it is "bacterial SSU rRNA". It matches the Rfam family "Bacterial small subunit ribosomal RNA". The record is from RNAcentral.
GUUUGAUCAUGGCUCAGAACGUACGCUGGCGGCACGCCUAACACAUGCAAGUCGAACGAAGUAGCAAUACUUAGUGGCAGACGGGUGAGUAACAUGUAGGUAUCUGCCCUUUGGCCUGGAAUAACACGAGGAAACUUGUGCUAAUACCGGAUAAGUCUUUACGGAGAAAGCUUUAUGCACCAUUGGAUGAGCCUGCACUUGAUUAGUUUGUUGGUGGGGUAAUGGCCUACCAAGACUGUGAUCAAUAGCUGAUUUGAGAGGAUGAUCAGCCACAUUGGGACUGAGACACGGCCCAAACUCCUACGGGAGGCAGCAGUGGGGAAUCUUGCACAAUGGAGGAAACUCUGAUGCAGCGAUGCCGCGUGAGUGAAGAAGGCCUUUGGGUUGUAAAGCUCUUUCGUCGGGGAAGAAAAUGACUGUACCCGAAUAAGAAGGUCCGGCUAACUUCGUGCCAGCAGCCGCGGUAAUACGAAGGGACCUAGCGUAGUUCGGAAUUACUGGGCUUAAAGAGUUCGUAGGUGGUUGAAAAAGUUGGUGGUGAAAUCCCAGAGCUUAACUCUGGAACUGCCAUCAAAACUUUUCAGCUAGAGUAUGAUAGAGGAAAGCAGAAUUUCUAGUGUAGAGGUGAAAUUCGUAGAUAUUAGAAAGAAUACCAAUUGCGAAGGCAGCUUUCUGGAUCAUUACUGACACUGAGGAACGAAAGCAUGGGUAGCGAAGAGGAUUAGAUACCCUCGUAGUCCAUGCCGUAAACGAUGUGUGUUAGACGUUGGAAAUUUAUUUUCAGUGUCGCAGCGAAAGCGAUAAACACACCGCCUGGGGAGUACGACCGCAAGGUUAAAACUCAAAUGAAUUGACGGGGACCCGCACAAGUAGUGGAGCAUGUGGUUUAAUUCGAAGAUACGCGCAGAACCUUACCAACACUUGACAUGUUCGUCGCGACUCUAAGAGAUUAGAGUUUUCGGUUCGGCCGGACGAAACACAGGUGCUGCAUGGCUGUCGUCAGCUCGUGUCGUGAGAUGUUGGGUUAAGUCCCGCAACGAGCGCAACCCUCACUUUUAGUUGCCAUCAUUAAGUUGGGCACUCUGAAAGAACUGCCAGUGAUAAGCUGGAGGAAGGUGGGGAUGACGUCAAGUCCUCAUGGCCCUUACGUGUUGGGCUACACACGUGCUACAAUGGUAUCUACAACAGGAAGCAAGACUGCGAAGUUAAGCAAAUCCUUAAAAGAUACCUCAGUUCGGAUUGCACUCUGCAACUCGAGUGCAUGAAGCUGGAAUUACUAGUAAUCGUGGAUCAGCGUGCCACGGUGAAUGCGUUCCCGGGUCUUGUACACACCGCCCGUCACACCAUGGGAGUUGGUUCUACCUUAAGGCAAGGUUUAAAACCCUUGACCACGGUAUAGUCAGCGACUGGGGUGAAGUCAUAACAAGGUAACCGUA